Molecule: ribosomal RNA, 525 nt
Filed under: uncultured bacterium
Lineage: Bacteria
Description: bacterial SSU rRNA
Rfam family: Bacterial small subunit ribosomal RNA
Source: RNAcentral
UGGGGAAUAUUGGACAAUGGGGGCAACCCUGAUCCAGCAAUUCUGUGUGCACGAUGAAGGUCUUCGGAUUGUAAAGUGCUUUCAGCAGGGAAGAAAAAAAUGACGGUACCUGCAGAAGAAGCGACGGCUAAAUACGUGCCAGCAGCCGCGGUAAUACGUAUGUCGCGAGCGUUAUCCGGAAUUAUUGGGCAUAAAGGGCAUCUAGGCGGCCGGAUAAGUCUGGGGUGAAAACUUGCGGCUCAACCGCAAGCCUGCCCUGGAAACUAUGCGGCUAGAGUACUGGAGAGGUGGACGGAACUGCACGAGUAGAGGUGAAAUUCGUAGAUAUGUGCAGGAAUGCCGAUGAUGAAGAUAGUUCACUGGACGGUAACUGACGCUGAAGUGCGAAAGCUAGGGGAGCAAACAGGAUUAGAUACCCUGGUAGUCCUAGCUGUAAACGAUGAUUACUGGGUGUGGGCAUGAAGAGUGUCCGUGCCGAAGCUAAUGCGAUAAGUAAUCCGCCUGGGGAGUACGGCCGCAAGGCUG